AGGGGUGGCGUAGGCGGCCUGUUAAGUCAGGGGUGAAAGACGGUAGCUCAACUAUCGCAGUGCCCUUGAUACUGAUGGGCUUGAAUGGACUAGAGGUAGGCGGAAUGAGACAAGUAGCGGUGAAAUGCAUAGAUAUGUCUCAGAACACCGAUUGCGAAGGCAGCUUACUAUGGUCUUAUUGACGCUGAGGCACGAAAGCGUGGGGAUCAAACAGGAUUAGAUACCCCAGU
This 230-nucleotide ribosomal RNA is filed under the name uncultured bacterium. RNAcentral describes it as "partial 16S ribosomal RNA". It matches the Rfam family "Bacterial small subunit ribosomal RNA", at positions 563 to 791 of the family's 1533-position model. The record is from RNAcentral.